GGAGCGGAUGCCGAAAAGCUUAUCUUAAAGAGUAGGCA
Molecule: non-coding RNA, 38 nt
Filed under: unclassified sequences
Description: DUF805b RNA
Rfam family: DUF805b RNA
About the family: Bacteroidetes, Chlorobi (1 example), Proteobacteria. Lineage (Flavobacteria)
Source: RNAcentral